This is a non-coding RNA of Triticum aestivum (bread wheat), 134 nucleotides long. The record is from Rfam. Lineage: Eukaryota; Viridiplantae; Streptophyta; Magnoliopsida; Poales; Poaceae.
GUAGUACUCUUUCCGUCCCAAAAUAUUUGUCAUCAAAAUGAACAAAAAAGAUGUAUCCAGAAAUAAAAUACGUCUAGAUACAUCCCCUUUUAUCCAUUUUGAUGACAAGUAUUUCCGGACGGAGGGAGUAGAUG